GAUGAACGCUGGCGGCGUGCCUAAUACAUGCAAGUCGAGCGAACAGACGAGGAGCUUGCUCCUCUGACGUUAGCGGCGGACGGGUGAGUAACACGUGGAUAACCUACCUAUAAGACUGGGAUAACUUCGGGAAACCGGAGCUAAUACCGGAUAAUAUAUUGAACCGCAUGGUUCAAUAGUGAAAGACGGUUUUGCUGUCACUUAUAGAUGGAUCCGCGCCGCAUUAGCUAGUUGGUAAGGUAACGGCUUACCAAGGCGACGAUGCGUAGCCGACCUGAGAGGGUGAUCGGCCACACUGGAACUGAGACACGGUCCAGACUCCUACGGGAGGCAGCAGUAGGGAAUCUUCCGCAAUGGGCGAAAGCCUUACGGAGCAACGCCGCGUGAGUGAUGAAGGUCUUCGGAUCGUAAAACUCUGUUAUUAGGGAAGAACAAAUGUGUAAGUAACUAUGCACGUCUUGACGGUACCUAAUCAGAUAGCCACGGCUAACUACGU
This 496-nucleotide ribosomal RNA is filed under the name uncultured bacterium. RNAcentral describes it as "partial 16S ribosomal RNA". It matches the Rfam family "Bacterial small subunit ribosomal RNA", at positions 28 to 506 of the family's 1533-position model. The record is from RNAcentral.